Carassius gibelio (silver crucian carp) is the source of this 1089-nucleotide long non-coding RNA. RefSeq lists it as uncharacterized. The record is from RefSeq and is a predicted model, not a curated record. Lineage: Eukaryota; Metazoa; Chordata; Actinopteri; Cypriniformes; Cyprinidae. The transcript is spliced from 6 exons.
CCCAUUCUCACUCCAAAGGCGUCAAAAACCGAAGCAUGGUCAAGCGCCCCUAGCGUCACUUUUAUGACGCCAAAUGUGCCUCUCGGCGUCGACUAUCGAAGCACUACGACCUUCAUUGCUUUCAGUGGGAAACUUUUGGCGUCAGAAUUCGACACGAGGACAUGAGAUGUUUAUCGCUAUGAAAUCACGUUCAAGAAGUCUCAUUCAGCACACAUCGCGCGAUACUUGCUAUCAGUUCCACAGUUUGGCUGAAAAGACGUAAAGGCAGUCAGCCCAGUGGUGUUUCUGGAGAGGGAUUCCUUCAGAAAUGGAGAAGACAGAAAGCUGCGGAGGCAGAUAUUUGCAGCAGAUUUUUUCCAGAUAAUGCUGUUCUUCUUUUUCAGGUCUAAAAUAUCGAGCUCAACAGCUAUUUUAAGAGCCAACCCUCACAAACCUUCCUAAAAACUAAGAGCUAUUACUGAGUCUCAGCGAAUCUUGCCAUGAUCAGCUCUUCCCAGAAGAGAAGGAAGACCAAGGAUAUGAUUUGCUCAGGAUGAGGAAUGAAGAUGGCCAUCUUGAGCUCAAACAAACAGAAGUCCUCUGAUGAUCUCAUCAGCCAAAUGAGGGGUUUUGACCAAGUGAUGCUCUUGAAAGGAGUGAAAGAAGAGGAUGUGGUAAAUUGUCUUCAGAGAAAAGCUUCUCAAAAGAUCUUAAAACAGCUUGAAGAAUGGUCUGGGAUCUUAGGACUGAGAGAUCAUCUGGCUGAGAACAAGCUACACCUCAUCAGUGCUGGACAUCAACCACAAACUGUUUCCAGACACGAGAGAAGAAGAUCACGAUGGGGAGAUGAAACCAGUUUAGAUGUGAUGAUGGGAAUCAUUAUUUUCUGAAACAGUAUCACAUGUCUUAUAUGUAUCACAUGAUCUGUAUCACAGUUGACUGGAUGGGACUGUGUGACUUUUAAGGACAUUUCAUCACUCAUCUGUGUUAACUGAUUUAUAUAUGAGGUUAAUGUAUCUUUGAUGAUAAUUAUUUUCAUUGAAUCUUAUUUGUCUUGAUGCUACUUUAUCAACUUUAUAGUCUAUGCUUCAAUAAAAUGAAAAUGGUGAA